Long non-coding RNA from Mandrillus leucophaeus (drill), 875 nucleotides. RefSeq lists it as uncharacterized. The transcript has 2 exons. The record is from RefSeq and is a predicted model, not a curated record. Lineage: Eukaryota; Metazoa; Chordata; Mammalia; Primates; Cercopithecidae.
GAUUAAAAAAUGAAUUGUUUGUUUAUUCAAAAGGAGAAGAAACUUCCUUCUGGCAUUUUUGAGGUGAUAUCUGCACACACUAGCGCCCCUUUGCCUUCCGUCAUGAGUAGAAGCAGUCCAAGGCCUUCACCACAUUCCCUAUCUUGAACCUUCCAGCAAGAAGAAUCAUGAACCGAAUAAACUGCUUUUCUUUAUAAACUAUUCAGCUUUAUGUAUUCCCUUACAGCAACACGAAAUGGACUAAGACGAAUUGAUAAAGAAAAUGUGAUAUCUAUACAUCUCUCUAUCUAUAAAGAUAAGAUACCAAUUACAAUGGAAUAUUGUUCAGUCAUAAAAAGAUGAAGAUUCUGGAAUCUCAGAUGUCAGGGAUGAAUCUGGAGGAAAUUAUGCAAACAGAAAUAAGCUAGACACAGAAAGACAAAUACUAUAUAAUCUCACUUAUAUGUAGAAUCUGAAAAAGUUGAACUCAGAAGCAGAGACUCAGUAGUAAUUGCCAGGGGCUGGGAGCAGGAAGAAGAGAAUUGAAAGAAGGAAAAGGGAGAUGUUGGUCAAAGAGACAAACAUUCAGUUACAAGAUGAAUAAGUUCUGGAGAUCUAAUAUAUAGCAUGGUAACUAUCAUUAAUAAUACCAUAUUUGUAUAUUGUAUACUUGAAAUUUGCUGAAAGUAAAUCUCAAGGGUUCUCAACAAAUACAUACCAAAAAAAUGAUUACCUUAGAUUACUAUGUAAGAUGAUGGAUGUGUUAGCUAGUUUGAUUUUGGUAAUUAUUUCACAAUAUAUAUGUAUAUCAGGUCAUAUUAUUCACCUUAAAUAUAUACCACUUUGUAUGUUGAUUACCUCAAUAAAGCUGGGGGGUGGGGAAAUAUUUGAAAAAU